UUGUCUCAAAGAUUAAGCCAUGCAUGUCUCAGUACAAGCCAAAUUAAGGUGAAACCGCAAAAGGCUCAUUAAAUCAGUUAUGGUUCCUUAGAUCGUACCCACAUUUACUUGGAUAACUGUGGUAAUUCUAGAGCUAAUACAUGCAAACAGAGCUCCAACCGGAGACGGAAGGAGCGCUUUUAUUAGAUCAAAACCAAUCGGUGUCGGGUCUUUUCACGAAGAUUCGUCAUCGUAUAAUUUGGUGACUCUGAAUAACUUUAUGCUGAUCGCACGGUCUUGCACCGGCGACGUAUCUUUCAAAUGUCUGCCUUAUCAACUGUCGAUGGUAGGUUCUGCGCCUACCAUGGUUGUAACGGGUAACGGGGAAUCAGGGUUCGAUUCCGGAGAGGGAGCCUGAGAAACGGCUACCACAUCCAAGGAAGGCAGCAGGCGCGCAAAUUACCCACUCCCGGCACGGGGAGGUAGUGACGAAAAAUAACGAUACGGGACUCAUCCGAGGCCCCGUAAUCGGAAUGAGUACACUCUAAACCCUUUAACGAGGAUCAAUUGGAGGGCAAGUCUGGUGCCAGCAGCCGCGGUAAUUCCAGCUCCAAUAGCGUAUAUUAAAGUUGUUGCGGUUAAAAAGCUCGUAGUCGAAUCUGUGUCCCACGCCGCUGGUUCAUCGUUCGCGGUGUUAACUGGCGUGUCGCGGGACGUCCUGCCGGUGGGCUUAGCUCGCAAGGGCGGCCCAAUUUAAAUCCCGCCGCGGUGCUCUUCAUUGAGUGUCGAGGUGGGCCGGCACGUUUACUUUGAACAAAUUAGAGUGCUUAAAGCAGGCUAAAAUUUUGCCUGAAUAUUAUGUGCAUGGAAUAAUGGAAUAGGACCUCGGUUCUAUUUUGUUGGUUUUAGGAACCCCGAGGUAAUGAUUAAUAGGAACGGAUGGGGGCAUUCGUAUUGCGACGUUAGAGGUGAAAUUCUUGGAUCGUCGCAGACGG
Molecule: ribosomal RNA, 974 nt
Filed under: Euctenia sp. COL351
Lineage: Eukaryota; Metazoa; Arthropoda; Insecta; Coleoptera; Ripiphoridae
Description: SSU rRNA
Rfam family: Eukaryotic small subunit ribosomal RNA
Source: RNAcentral